AAAGGAUGUGGAAUUGCACAGACAACCAGGAUGUUGGCUUAGAAGCAGCCACUCAUUUAAAGAGUGCGUAAUAGCUCACUGGUCGAGUGAUUCUGCGCCGAAAAUUUCCGGGGCUAAAACUUACUACCGAAGCUACGGCAUCAUUAUGAUGGGUAGGGGAGCUUUCUAUGCGGCUUGAAGCAUGACCGUAAGGACAUGUGGACUGCAUAGAAGUGAGAAUGUUGGCAUGAGUAGCGAGAUGUGGGUGAGAAUCCCACAGGCCGUAAACCCAAGGUUUCCAGGGGAAGGUUCGUCCGCCCUGGGUUAGUCAGGACCUAAGCCGAGGCCGAAAGGCGUAGGUGAUGGACAACAGGUUGAUAUUCCUGUACCACCAAUAACCGUUUGAGAAAUGGGAUGACACAGUAGGAUAAGCUAACCGCACUGUUGGUUAUGUGCGGGCAAGUAUUGAGGCAGUUCCGAUAGGCAAAUCCGUCGGAAUAAUGCUGGGGUACGAUGCGGAGCGAAAUUUAGUAGCGAAGUAGCUGAUUUCACACUGUCGAGAAAAGUCUCUAUCGAGGUUAAAGGUGCCUGUACCGCAAACCGACACAGGUGGGUGAGGAGAGUAUCCUAAGGCCAGCGAGAGAACUGUUGUUAAGGAACUCGGCAAAAUGACCCCGUAACUUAGGGAGAAGGGGUGCCUUCGAAAGAAGGCCGCAGAGAAUAGGCCCAAGCGACUGUUUACCAAAAACAUAGGUUUCUGCUAAGUCGCAAGACGAUGUAUAGGAGCUGACGCCUGCCCGGUGCUGGAAGGUUAAGGGGAUCUGUUAGAGCAAUCGAAGCAGUGAACUUAAGCCCCAGUAAACGGCGGCCGUAACUAUAACGGUCCUAAGGUAGCGAAAUUCCUUGUCGGGUAAGUUCCGACCCGCACGAAAGGCGUAACGAUUUGGGCACUGUCUCAACAACAGACUCGGUGAAAUUGUAAUACCGGUGAAGAUGCCGGUUACCUGCGACAGGACGGAAAGACCCCAUGGAGCUUUACUGUAGCUUGACAUUGAGUCUCGGUGCUACAUGUACAGGAUAGGUGGGAGACUAUGAAGCAUGGACGUCAGUCUGUGUGGAGUCAUCCUUGGGAUACCACCCUUGUAGUACUGGGAUUCUAACCAGAGGCCAUGAAUCUGGUCUUGGGACACUGUCAGGUGGACAGUUUGACUGGGGCGGUCGCCUCCCAAAAAGUAACGGAGGCGCUCAAAGGUUCUCUCAGUACGGUCGGAAAUCGUACGAAGAGUGUAAAGGCAAAAGAGAGCUUGAUUGCAAGACAUACAGGUCGAGCAAGGACGAAAGUCGGACUUAGUGAUCCGGUGGUUCCGCAUGGAAGGGCCAUCGCUCAACGGAUAAAAGCUACCCUGGGGAUAACAGGCUGAUCUCCCCCAA
Molecule: ribosomal RNA, 1410 nt
Filed under: human gut metagenome
Description: bacterial LSU rRNA
Rfam family: Bacterial large subunit ribosomal RNA
Source: RNAcentral